RNAcentral lists this ribosomal RNA (405 nucleotides) under uncultured bacterium. RNAcentral describes it as "partial 16S ribosomal RNA". It matches the Rfam family "Bacterial small subunit ribosomal RNA", at positions 28 to 526 of the family's 1533-position model. The record is from RNAcentral.
GACGAACGCUGGCGGCGUGCUUAACACAUGCAAGUCGAGCGGAGCGGCGAACGGGUGAGUAACGCGUGAGUAACUGCCCCCCUCUCUGGGAUAACAGAUGGAAACGGCUGCUAAUACCGGAUAGUGUGGGAUGACUCGCGGCCUAUCAGAUGUUUGGGUGGGUAGUGGCCUACCAAGGCGACGACGGGUAGCCGGCCUGAGAGGGCGACCGGCCACAUUGGGCUAAGAUACGGCCCAAACGCCUACAGGAGGCAGCGGUGGGGAGUAUUGCGCAAUGGGGGAAACCCUGAUGCAGAAACGCCGCGGGCGGGAUGACGGCCUACGGGUUGUAAACCGCUUUCAGCCAUGACGCGGUAGUGGCAGAAGAAGCACCGGCUAACUACGUGCCAGCAGCCGCGGUAAUUC